AUGAGGAGCUUCGUCUGCUUGUCACUGGGUGCAGCUGUGAUCUUGCUUCUGGUAUUGGCUUCGGCCAUGGAGGCUGGAGCCAUCCGACUCGACGCGGGGACCCGGGCCUCAGUCAGCGGCGGCAGUAACCAAACGGCCACUGAUAAACCAACUAUGAACAAUGUCGUCGAUGUGGUCAAGGCUUCUGCUGGCUCAACAAGCGAGACGAAGAAGAGCGUGGACGUUGCCACGGGUGAAGUUAGGGCGGUGGCGCAUAAGAUGCCAGAGUUCCAUGAGGACUACUACGGCCCGAGUGAUCACAGCCCUAGGCACCACUGA
RNAcentral lists this ribosomal RNA (318 nucleotides) under Triticum aestivum (bread wheat). RNAcentral's name for it is "partial small subunit ribosomal RNA". The record is from RNAcentral. Lineage: Eukaryota; Viridiplantae; Streptophyta; Magnoliopsida; Poales; Poaceae.